CCCUUAGAUGUCCUGGGCCGCACGCGCGCUACACUGACCGGUGCAACAAGCAUCCGUCCUUGGCCGACAGGCCCGGGCAAUCUUUGAACGCCGGUCGUGAUGGGGAUAGACUUUUGCAAUUUUUGGUCUUCAACGAGGAAUUCCUAGUAAACGCAAGUCAUCAACUUGCAUUGAUUACGUCCCUGCCCUUUGUACACACCGCCCGUCGCACCUACCGAUUGAAUGGUCCGGUGAAGCCUCCGGAUUGGCGCGCACCUCGGUGCCGCCGAGAAGUUGGCUAAACCUUACCAUUUAGAGGAAGGUGAAGUCGUAACA
RNAcentral lists this ribosomal RNA (315 nucleotides) under uncultured eukaryote. Its description in RNAcentral is "partial 18S ribosomal RNA". It matches the Rfam family "Eukaryotic small subunit ribosomal RNA", at positions 1470 to 1796 of the family's 1831-position model. The record is from RNAcentral.